UGAGCAUAUGGUGGGUUUAAUAAUUGUU
Molecule: non-coding RNA, 28 nt
Filed under: Homo sapiens (human)
Lineage: Eukaryota; Metazoa; Chordata; Mammalia; Primates; Hominidae
Source: RNAcentral